Oncorhynchus kisutch (coho salmon) is the source of this 2210-nucleotide long non-coding RNA. RefSeq lists it as uncharacterized. The record is from RefSeq and is a predicted model, not a curated record. The transcript is spliced from 3 exons. Lineage: Eukaryota; Metazoa; Chordata; Actinopteri; Salmoniformes; Salmonidae.
UAGAUUAGCUAGCCUGGAUUUAGCUAGCCUGGAUUUUGAAUUGUGUACGGAGUGGCUCAUUUGUGGAAUACAAUAGACCUAGUUAACGAGCUAAAUUAGCUCGCUAUUAUUUUUAUUUAUAUAAACCAAUGCGCUUACAUUUGUUUCAUUAUUUGGUUUCACAUCUGUCCAUGCACCAGAUUGGAAUGAAAGGUUUGUUUGCUCAAGUGCCAAGGACCUGAAUUCGACCGUGUGGCGGAUCCUACCCUUGCAUUCUGUCAAACCGUCUUGCCAUCGCCACAACCUGGACUAAGGGCAGGGGAGGUGGCCUGUUUCAGGGACUUGUUUCUGAAGACCAUUUCUUCACAGAGCCAUUCAGGAGAACCCUGCAACCCGGGAUGCUGAGUAGCUAAAACGGGCAUCCGAUUGUGAAGGCGGGAGGCGGCGUCGCACAAGGGAGAGGAAUCCACUUCAUUGAGGUUCAACAUCAAGUCUCAGACCACCUGUCUCAAAUCCACCCUCUACCCACAAGCCACAAGACUGCUCCAACAGCUGAACCCUGGGCUGAUUACUGCACUCUACCACACACUUACCAUUUACUCAUAUUAUGUACACAUUGAAAUCAGUUUAUUCUACUGGAACCAUGCAAUAGUUAUGUCACCUUACUGCACUACUAAUGUAUUGUAUAUACGUUCAUAUAAUUCUAUGAUGCAACUGCACUGUAAUUAUCCCACUCACUAUGCACAUGGACAAACAAAGCUUCUAUAUCCCUAUAGGAUAUCUCUUUUAAUCUUAUUUUAGUUUACAUCUUAUUUCCUUUUAGCUGCGUGCCUCUUGUACUUGAUUUAGUUUAAUUUAGUUGUUUUUAUAAGUAUGUUAUAUUUAUGUCACUUAUUUGAUUGCUUUCCUAUGUUACUUAUUUGAUUACUAUGUCACUUUUGAGAAGCCUGCAAGUCCAUGAAUGAGGAGAUUGGCAAAAAAAUCUGUCGCACAUCGCGGGACCACUAUUGAGGGAUGCCAGGCUCCUGCUCAUUGCUAACUGGGUUAAAUACAUUGGGGCUACAAUUACUAUAUAGGAGUUACUUUAACAUUUUACUGCACCGGGCCAAAUCAGGGUUACACAGAGUGAUUCUUGGUAGUCUUAAAUCUAUUUUGAAACAAAAGUAUACACCUGGGCUUAAAAAAAGAAGACACCUGUACCAUGAGUUGAAAUGUAUUACAUUUUGAGUUUGCAUGCCAAUAUUACACUUUAUAUACAUCACAGAGGACUGAAAUAACCAAACUGUUUGGAAUAGAAACACCAUCUUUUCAUAAUGUUUUAAAGAAUAAUCUUUAUUAUUGAUGCUGAAACUAUGAAAAAUAUUAAUAACAUUCCACCCAUGAGGCCAAAGAGGUCGCUUUUGGUCAUUGACUGCGGGAUAGGGUUACAGACAUAGGAGCUACCGUACCUUAAAGACAUGUAAUAUCCUGCUAGGAUAUAUUGUGUUCUGUGUGAUUACGUCUAGCCUAUCACAUGCUGCAUCAUUGGCAUAAAGGUCGCGCAAGUUUACGUCAAGCGCACAUUCAUCCCUUUUGGAUCAAGAUGGCAAAAUAAAUAAGACAAUAUUUGUUGUCAUUCCCUUUCUUUUAAUUAGACACUAAGAGUGACAGUCAAGUCAUUGUGCGUUCCAACACCGAGGAGGGAUUGGGAUUAAUCAAAUUUACCUGACGAGGGUCGAGCUAAUGCUCUCUGGACCGAUAUGUACUAAGAACAAGAACGGGGGGGAAAGGACGAGAUGUAUUUAACAUGGGGACACAAACGCAGAUGCAAAGGUACUGAAAACGUAUUAUGACAAGUAUGAGGAAUACGUCAUUCCCAAUGCAAAUCCGUUUUUUGCUAGAUACAAGUUUCAAGAAAAGCUACAAGGUGUUAGCGAGUCCGUCAAGCAUUUUGUUACCGAGGUAAAGUUUCUAGUUGAAGACUGUAACUAGCCAAACAGUGACGAGAUGGUUAGAGUCCGAUUGUUUUUGCUACGAACUCACCUAAAGUGCGUGAAAAGCUAUUGAGUCAUGGCUCAUCAGAUUUUACUUUCAAAAAAGCCAUAGACAUUGCGCACUCACACAAGCUAGCACAAGAACAGUUGAGGACCAUGGUUAGCAAUAGCAACAGAGCUAGCGCUGCUACAGCUAGUCAGGCAGUACAUGCUAUAAGCCAAAGAGAACACGGAGGAUACAGAACCGACGCAAAGCGU